UACAGAGGUCUCAAGCGUUGUUCGGAAUCACUGGGCGUAAAGGGUGCGUAGGCGGCGGGGUAAGUCGGAUGUGAAAUCCCGGGGCUCAACCCCGGAACUGCAUUCGAUACUGCCUUGCUAGAGUACUGGAGAGGAGACUGGAAUUUACGGUGUAGCAGUGAAAUGCGUAGAUAUCGUAAGGAAGACCAGUGGCGAAGGCGAGUCUCUGGACAGUUACUGACGCUGAGGCACGAAGGCCAGGGGAGCAAACGGG
Molecule: ribosomal RNA, 253 nt
Filed under: uncultured bacterium
Lineage: Bacteria
Description: partial 16S ribosomal RNA
Rfam family: Bacterial small subunit ribosomal RNA
Source: RNAcentral